CAGACUCCUACGGGAGGCAGCAGUGAGGAAUAUUGGUCAAUGGGCGAGAGCCUGAACCAGCCAAGUAGCGUGCAGGAUGACGGCCCUAUGGGUUGUAAACUGCUUUUAUAAGGGAAUAAAAGUGAGUCUCGUGAGACUUUUUGCAUGUACCUUAUGAAUAAGGACCGGCUAAUUCCGUGC
RNAcentral lists this ribosomal RNA (180 nucleotides) under uncultured bacterium. Its description in RNAcentral is "partial 16S ribosomal RNA". It matches the Rfam family "Bacterial small subunit ribosomal RNA", at positions 332 to 508 of the family's 1533-position model. The record is from RNAcentral.